UGGGGAAUUUUGGACAAUGGGGGCAACCCUGAUCCAGCCAUGCCGCGUGCGGGAAGAAGGCCUUCGGGUUGUAAACCGCUUUUGGUCGGGAAGAAAAGGCUCUACCUAAUACGUGGGGUUCUUGACGGUACCGGCAGAAUAAGCACCGGCUAACUACGUGCCAGCAGCCGCGGUAAUACGUAGGGUGCGAGCGUUAAUCGGAAUUACUGGGCGUAAAGCGUGCGCAGGCGGUAAGUUAAGUCUGAUGUGAAAGCCCCGGGCUCAACCUGGGAACGGCAUUGGAAACUGGCUUGCUAGAGUGUGGCAGAGGGGGGUGGAACUCCGCGUGUAGCAGUGAAAUGCGUAGAGAUGCGGAAGAACACCGAUGGCGAAGGCAGCCCCCUGGGCCAACACUGACGCUCAGGCACGAAAGCGUGGGGAGCAAACA
RNAcentral lists this ribosomal RNA (427 nucleotides) under uncultured beta proteobacterium. RNAcentral describes it as "partial 16S ribosomal RNA". It matches the Rfam family "Bacterial small subunit ribosomal RNA", at positions 355 to 774 of the family's 1533-position model. The record is from RNAcentral. Lineage: Bacteria; Pseudomonadati; Pseudomonadota; Betaproteobacteria.